Molecule: long non-coding RNA, 8068 nt
Filed under: Triticum aestivum (bread wheat)
Lineage: Eukaryota; Viridiplantae; Streptophyta; Magnoliopsida; Poales; Poaceae
Description: long non-coding RNA (TAES_LNC018285)
Source: RNAcentral
UUUUUUUCUUUUCUGUUUUGUCCUUUUUCUUUUUAUUUAUCUUUUCCUUUACUCUUUUCUCUUAUUUUCUAAAUAUUUUAGUUUUGGUAAAAUACAAAAGUUGUACCUAAUUUAGUAUAUUUAAUUAUGUCACAUUCCGAACAUUUUAGUUUUAGCGUUUGAAAACUUUUGAUGUUUGCCUUUAACAAAAAUUUGAAUCAUUUUGAACUAACACGAGAUUAACAACAGUAACCGCGAUGACAUGGCAUCAUUAACUGGGAAUUACUGUAGCUUAAAUAUCCGGGCGUCACAAUUCUCCUCCACUACAAGAAAUCUCGUCCCGAGAUUUAAGAGGGGAAGUGCGGGGCAGGGAUUUGGUUACGAAAUUCUAACGAGCGUACUUGAUCUUGGUUGCUCUUCUCGAAGCGGUCGAUCCGUUACAUUGAUGUCUUCAUUUCUCUUCUUCAGGUCAUCAUGAUCAAGUCGGCAUCCUUUCUUCAGGAACUCCAUCAUACUUACGAAAGAAUAACAUGUGGGUAUUCCGGAAAAACCUAUCUCUGCAAUGUUGACUAUCUAGUCGAUAGCAUCGGGGAAGGUGGCCGAAAGUAACUCUCGAAUUGAAACUUAAGAAAAUAUCGAGAGCAAGGUAAGAAGGUGCAAUAAGAAGUUUCAAGCAGAUAGACAAUCAUUUGUUGCCUAAAACAGAGUGUGAAAGGGGUUCAGAGCAAUGGGCAUAAGUAUUGUUUCGGAUACCAGAAUUGAUCACUAGGAAUGUGGUCCGUGAAUUACAUACGAGGCCACGCACGAGGAACAACCUUGCGAACAGGGGGUGUACAGGAGAGUCAGGUUUCGAUCCUGUGGAACUGUGGGUUAUGGGCCCACCAUGUGGGCUAAUAGUAGGAAGAUGGGUGACGUCUUGCACGAUCAUGUAAGCAAGGCAUGCCAGAGAAUAACCGGUCAGGUUAUGUUGACAGCAUCGUUGGUACCAAGGGCGAGGGACGAAGAUAACCAUUUUCCUGCUCGUUGAACGAGCGGACCAAUAGGCAAAGUUCUCGUCCAUCGGUGGCUCUACCAGAAUGUCAUCAACAAUAGUAAGAGGGUCUUGCUGAUAGAAUUGUACAACGAGGUGUUUACAUAAGCAGGAGAAUAUUACUGCUUAGAUCAUAUGGAUCACAAGAAAGGUUAAACCAAACAAUGGAAAGGAAAAUAUGAUUAUCAGAUUAAACAGAACAAUGGAAAGGAAAUUGUGUUAAAACACAUAUUUCAGGGGUAUUUCCUUCCCAAGGACAAACAGAGUAUGAUAUCCGUGACAGGAUAUAAUGUAGAAAACCCUCUAGGUAGGGGGAGAGAAAUUUUCAUGACAUUACCCGUACAACGGUGUUUGGAUAAUUGAGCAAGAAACAAUUAGCAUUGGGAUAAGUGUUCUUGUUGAAAAUCGGAGUACCACAGACAUGCUUCGAGAUAGCAUUGACAUGGUCUUCGAGCAAGGUCGGACUUGGAUACACAAAGAAUUCAUCAGGAACAACUUAUAGAAUAAGUCUUAUAAUUUCCUCAUGGAAGAAUGGUUAACCUUGCUAAAAAGGAAACUAUAAUAAAAGGUCCUCUGGCUAGGGGUGUUAAGCAAAGACACCACCUUACCGGGUUAUGUAGAGGCCAAUGUUAUAACUUUUGGAAAUAUGUCCCAGCCAUCAUCUGACCAAGAUUCAGAUCUGAUUGGUGUCAGGAUACCUCAGACAUCAGGAUGCCUGAGAAGAAAAGGUGCAACACAAUUUGACGAGAUGACAUUGUGAGAUUCUCGGAAAUGAUCUAGGGAAGCGAGUUCUAAAACUAGAGUUCAUCAUUAAACCAAGGAGAGGAUGAGGGGGUGGCUGAUGAACUAAACGACAAUUCAUCGAGAUUUCCAAAAGAUGGAUUUCCACAAUCAUGUGAACAAGGAAUAACAAUUUUCAGAUCAAAUGAUAUAAAGAUGUAUGCUGGAGGAAAACAUACACAUCUAGACAUUGUUUGAAAGGUGCACCCGAAAUAUGGGCUCAGGUAGCAUGAUCAAUGUUAGAAUGGUGAUUCGAUAACCAAUGGUCUAAGACUGAAAUAUCGACCAUUAACAUCAAAGCAAUAGGGUUGCUAGAAGUUUUGAAGUCGCACAAUCAUAGUUCAAUUGUCGGGUUUUUUUCUGUCAGAAACAACACGGGGACCAAGGAAUGAACGGAUAUGGUAGGAAGUAUCACCUGUAUAAAGAAUUCUUAAGAGGUGGUGAAAUUCUCACGACAUUCUUGACACAAAAGAUGGUAAUACUCCAAGGUAAGGUGAACAAAUGUUGGAUAGCAAGGAUCUCAAGGUAUACACAAAACACGAACAAGUUUGUGUUGAAUGGAAGGCAAUAAAGUGGUCGAUGAUAGCACCAAUCAUUGAGGGCAAGGAUGUUAUUUCUCAUCAUGAAUUCAAUUGAUAUCUUGGAAGACCUCAGAAUGUUGAUGAUGAUCACGACACAUUUGUCGAGAGGUUUCAAGAAGAUGUAACCGAUCGGCGAUGACAUCAUGUUAACGGAAUAAUGAAGCGGAAAGUUAUUGAAACCAUGGGUACUACACAAACUCGAAAUCAAGCUUGUUGUUCAGGGACAAAUGGUAUGACGAGGAAGAUCGACGUAAGAUUAGCUCACCGUCGUAGCACAGUUAAAAUCGGCACGACAAGGAUAUAGCCAAGCAGGCUAGGAAUGCCGUGAUCGAGUUCAAACUCGUAAGUAAUGAAGGUUAUCAAGAGUUGUUUAAUCGUGGUGCGGACUCGAGUCAGUUAUCGGUGUCUUUGAGUGUUUAAUAACUCAGAGCCCAUGAAAAAUUGGAAUCAGUGAGAAUGUAGCACUUGAUGAAGAACUCAUAAGAAGUUAUGCAGUUCCAUGAUAAUCUCGAGAUACCAGGGGGGUAAUACUCGACGACAGAUCAAAGUAGAGGUUGGACUAGGGUAUUGCUCUGCAGAAGACAAGUGCUCAAACUUGCACGAGAAAUGGAAUCAAGGAGAAACAUGGUCGGAACCACGUCCACAGAUACAGGAUGAACUUAUAACAAGGGGAUAAUUAUUUUAAGAGAAGCUUCCGUGAUAAGGUAUACAUCGUGUCCAUGGGCAUGAACACAGGGUUCAAGGUCGACUGCCACUUGUUCACCGCAUAACCUUUCAUUCACCUCUCAUAUUUCGAAAAUGACAUUAGUUGUUGAAAGUUUUUACCUGGUGCAAUACCAGAUAAGUAUGACCCGUGAAAUCUUUCGGGUUCACACAGAUUAGGGAAGGCGUAGGUUCAACCCAUCAGGGCAUCUUAGGAACAUAUACCACAAACUUCGGAGUAAAUAAUACAAGCUCGAAAGUAGAGCAUGGUUCACAAAGCAGAGGAUACAAUUUACCAAAGGCAUUAUAUACCCAUGGAAAGGCUCACAAGGUUAUUCAAUAUGAAAGACACUGUCGGAUAAAAUCCAUCAAAGGAACCGAUGGUCCUCAAGGGAUCUGAUGUGAGCAUCGGUACUCAACCAGAGGAAGAAGAAUGCAAGGAGAUCUGAUUAUAGAAACAACUGACUAAUUCAAAGCUCAAAUGCAAAAGGAUUAUGAUUUCCAAAUCAAGGGAUCAGAAGCAACACUCUAAUCAAGGAUGGAUAAGUUGAGUAGGCUUAGGGGUACAAUCGAUGGCAAUUUGAUUGGUCAAGAUUGAGCUCAUGAUUAAAAUGACAUCUGAGUCAAAAGGAUGAAUUCUAGGAUCUGAUUAAGGAUUGCAACAUUCGCAACAUAUUGAAUCAAGGGACCCAAGAUGAUAAAGGCAAAGGACAUCCAUGAAUAUUGCUAGCCAUUUGGAAUUAACCAAAAUGCAGGCAGACAAGCAUUUCAAGAGCCAUAGGCUAAUGAGGAUUCUCGAAAGAUCGGAUAGUAUUUCGAAGAAUUUUGUGAAACACAUGAACAACUGGGGAUGAGCGGAUACUCGGUAAGAGCGAGGAAUUAUCCGUAGGGGUAUUCAGGUGGCAAAGAACUGCAAGGCAGUAGGCACAAAGUAUUCUCGGAACAAUAGAGAGAAUUUCGAUGUAUCUUGUAAUAACAGGAUCAACUGGGGAUGAAUGUAUGAAUGACAAGUGUAUGUGGUUAUCCAUAGAGGUUUAUCGAUGGAUGGGAAUUACAAAAGCGAUGGCACAAAGUCUCGAGAGAACAUCGUAGAGUAUCCUCGGAAUCUUCUGGUGCAGUAGACGAUCAUGGGUAAUAAGAUGCCCUCCGGGUGAAAGUGAUCACGAGAUCCUAAUGUUAGAUUUAGCAAAAUUAAUUUAAUCCGAAUAGAAGAGAGAUUAGAAUCUCAGAGUAUAGACGAGGAAUAAAAGAUCCUAAUACCACCCAAUGGCGACGUGGGCCCAUGGGCCGCACAGCCAUGUUAGUAAAAGUUUUGUAAAGUCUAGACUCGACUUCGGCCAAGGAGUGUGGAAGGGGAUUCCUACAGGCAGUCGGCUCUAAUACCAACUUCUGACGCCACCGAUUCAAUCGUACACUAAUCAUGCAUGCAAACGUGUACGAUCAAGAUCACGGACUCACGGGAAGAUAUCACAACAAGACUCUAAAAAUAAAAUAAGUCAUACAAGCAUCAUAAUACAAGCCAGGGGCCUCGAGGGCUCGAAUACAAGUGCUCGAUCAUAGAAGAGUCAGUGGAAGCAACAAUAUCUGAGUACAGACAUAAGUUAAACAAGCUUGCCUUAAGAAGGCUAGCACAAACUGGGAUACAGAUCAAAAGAGGCGCAGGCCUCCUGCCUGGGAUCCUCCUAAACUACUCCUGGUCGUCGUCAGCGGCCUGUACAUAGUAGUAGGCACCUCCGGUGUAGUAGGAGUCGUCGUCGACGGUGGCGUCUGGCUCCUGGGCUCCAGCCUCUGGUUGCGACAACCGAGAGGAAAGGAAAGGGGAAAAGAAGGGGGAAAGCAACCGUGAGUACUCAUCCAAAGUACUCGCAAGCAAGGAUCUCCACUACAUAUGCAUGGGUAUCUGUAUAAAUGGGCAAUAUCGGUGGACUGAAUUGCAGAAUGCCAGAAUAAGAGGGGGAUAGCUAAUCCUAUCGAAGACUACGCUUCUGGCAGCCUCCAUCUUGCAGCAUGUAGAAAAGAGUAGAUGGUAAGUUCACCAAGUAUCAUCGCAUAGCAUAAUCCUACCCGGCGAUCCUCUCCUCGUCGCCCUGUGUGAGAGCAAUCACCGGGUUAUAUCUGGCACUUGGAAGGGUGUGUUUUAUUAAGUAUCCGGUUCUAGUUGUCAUAAGGUCAAGGUACAACUCCGGGUCGUCCUUUUACCGAGGGACAUGGCUAUUCGAAUAGAUAAACUUCCCUGCAAGGGUGCACCACAUUACCCAACACGCUCGAUCCCAUUUGGCCGGACACACUUUCCUGGGUCAUGCCCGGCCUCGGAAGAUCAACACGUCGCAGCCCUACCUAGGCUUAACAGAGAGGUUAGCAUGCUGGUCUAAAUCCUAUGCGCGCAGGGGUGUAGGCUCAUCGCCCAUUGCACACCUGCACGUUGCGAACGCGGCCGGAAGCAGACCUAACCCCCUUAACACAAGCGCAGGCUUACGGUCCAAUCUGGCGCGCGCUGCUCAGUCGCUAAUGUCAAGAAGGCUUCGGCUGAUACCACGACGUCGAGUGCCCAUAACUGUUCCCGCGUAGUUGGUUAGUGCGUAUAGGCUAGCGGCCAAACUCAGAUCAAAUACCAAGAUCUCGUUAAGCGUGUUAAGUAUCCACGAAUGCCGACCAGGUCCAGGCCCACCUCUCUCCUAGGUGGUCUCAACCUGCCCUAUCGCUCCGCCACAAAGUAACAGUCGGGGGCCGUCGGGAACCCAGGCCCACCUCUACCGGGAUGGAGCCAUCUGCCCCUUCAGCCCCCAUCUCCGAACAGUAUCAUAAGUAAUGUAACAGUAUCAAGUAUAUAGCAUAUGCCCGUGAUCACCUCCCGAAGUGAUCACGGCCCAGUAGUAUAGCAUGGCAGACGGACAAGAGUGUAGGGCCACUGAUGGAAUUCUAGCAUCCUAUACUAAGCAUUUAGGAUUGCAGGUAAGCGUAACAACUAUAGCAACAAUGAAAGGAGAUGCAGCAGAAUAGGAUUAACCGAAAGCAGUAACAUGCUACACUACUCUAAUGCAAGCAGUAGAGAGAAGGAAUAGGCGAUAUCUGGUGAUCAAGGGGGGGGGGGCUUGCCUGGUUGCUCUGGCAAGUAGGGAUCGUCAACAGCAUAGUAGGUCGAGGCACCAGCAGCGGCGUCGGUCUCGUAGUCUACCGGAGAGAAGAGGGGGAAGAAACAAUGAAUACAAUGCAAACAGAUGCAUAACGAUGCAUGACAAAGCAAACAGCGGUGUUAGGUGUGCCCUAACGCGGUAAGAGGUGAUACCGCGAAGAGGAGAAACAUCUGGGAAAGUAUCCCCGGUGUUUCGCGUUUUUAGGCAGAUGAAACGAAGGGGGAAAGUUGCGUGUUCGAUAUGCUAGGGGUGUGUGGUGGACGAACGGGCUGUGUAUUCGAAUUCGUCUCGUCGUUCUGAGCAACUUUUAUGUACAAAGUAUUUUCGUCCAAGUUACGGAUUAUUUUAUAUUAAUUUAAAAAAGAUUUAAUCAUUUUCAGGAAUUAACAGAUUUAAUUUAAAUCAAAAUUAGGUUUACUGCAUCAGCAUGUCAUCGGCAUGACAUCAGUUGUCAAAGUUGACCGUUGACCAGUCAGCUGACGUGCGGGUCCCGAUGUCAUAGGCUGAUCACUAAUUAACAUUAUUUAGUUUAAUUAACAGGUUAAUUAAAUUUGAGUUAAUUAACCUAAAUUAAGUAAUUAAUUAAUUAUAUAUGUUCCAUCUUUUUCUUUUCGUUUCUGGGGCAGGCCCCACUGGUCAUUGACCCUGAGGGGGCCUUAGCGAGCGUGUGGGCGUUGCGGGUCCGGGCAUAGGGCGCUGCGGGCAAGGCGCCCGUCGGGGCGGGCACGGGCGUGUGAGCGGCAAGCGGGGAGAGACAGCGCGACGUGGGGAAGGGGGCGGCCAGGGGCAGCGGUGGCGGACGCCGGUGGAGCCGCAAGCGGCGGCGUGUGGGGAGGCGCAGGGUGUGGGCGAGGCACAAGCGCGGCCCUGGGCCAGCAUGCGGCAGGAGUCGCGACUCGGGGCGGGCGGCGCGGGCGGAGCACGACCACGGUGGCCUUGGGCGCAGGGAGGUGGUGUGGAGCGGGGGGCACGUCGAGCGUGGCUCAGUCGGGCGGCCACGGACGCGCAGCGAUGGGCAUGGCGAGGACGGGCGACGGUGGCGGACGGGUGUGGUGCGGCGAACGACAUAGAGACGGAGGGAAGGGGGCAUCGAGGGCGCGCUCACCGGGCCCUGUAGGCGUGCAACAACGUGCUCGGGGAGGGCUCGACAAUGGCAUGCGCCAGCGAUGGGGACGGCGUCCUCGGGCGCGAGUAGAUCCGCCAAGGGAGAGGGAGGUGGGAGCGCGAGGUGGCGGACGCCCGAGCCAGUGAGGACGACGACGUGCGCGUCGGGGGCAAUGAGGUUAAGGCGGUGAUGGGACUCGGGGUUGGGCGGCGUCGUGUGGCAGAGUGGCCGAGGCGGAGGCGCUUCGGGCGGCGGCGGCGUUUGAGCCCGAUCUCGAUUGGAUCGGGGAGAGGGAGAGUGGGGAGUGCAAGUGAGGGAAUGGGAGGAGUGGGGCGUCGUGUGGGCUAGGGUUAUGGGGGUACAGGGGGUUAAGGGAGUAAGGGAGGCCGACCUGGGCCGGUUGGUUUGGCGGCCAGCUGGGCCGUUCGGCCCAGUUGGCCAGGGCGGUUUCCUCUUUCUUUUUUUCUUUUUUUUCUUUUUUGUUUUGUCCUUUUUCUUUUUUUAUCUUUUCCUUUACUAUUUUCUCUUAUUUUCUAAAUAUUUUAGUUUUGGUAAAAUACAAAAGUUGUACCUAAUUUAGUAUAUUUAAUUAUGUCACAUUCCGAACAUUUUAGUUUUAGCGUUUGAAAACAUUUGAUGUUUGCCUUUAACUAAAAUUUGAAUUUGAAUCGUUUUGAACUAACACGAGAUUAACAACAGUAACCGCGAUGACAUGGCAUCAUUAACAGGGAAUUACUGUAGCUUAAAUAUCCGGGCG